AAGAAGGUGUCAGAGUGGCUAUGAGGCUGGCUUGAAAUCAGUUUAAGGGGGUUCGACUCCCUCUCUUCUUG
RNAcentral lists this transfer RNA (71 nucleotides) under Diogenichthys atlanticus (longfin lanternfish). Its description in RNAcentral is "tRNA-Ser (UCN)". It matches the Rfam family "tRNA". Rfam says of the family: Transfer RNA (tRNA) molecules are approximately 80 nucleotides in length. Their secondary structure includes four short double-helical elements and three loops (D, anti-codon, and T loops). The record is from RNAcentral. Lineage: Eukaryota; Metazoa; Chordata; Actinopteri; Myctophiformes; Myctophidae.